UACAGGGGGGGCAAGCGUUGUUCGGAAUUACUGGGCGUAAAGGGUUCGUAGGUGGCCACCUAAGUCAGACGUGAAAUCCCUCAGCUUAACUGGGGAACUGCGUCUGAUACUGGGUGGCUUGAGUGCAGGAGAGGAAUGCGGAAUUCCCGGUGUAGUGGUGAAAUGCGUAGAUAUCGGGAGGAACACCAGUGGCGAAGGCGACUACCUGGCCUGUUCUUGACGCUGAGGCGCGAAAGCUAGGGGAGCAAACGGG
This 253-nucleotide ribosomal RNA is filed under the name uncultured bacterium. RNAcentral's name for it is "partial 16S ribosomal RNA". It matches the Rfam family "Bacterial small subunit ribosomal RNA", at positions 524 to 776 of the family's 1533-position model. The record is from RNAcentral.